Molecule: long non-coding RNA, 1867 nt
Organism: Pan paniscus (pygmy chimpanzee)
Lineage: Eukaryota; Metazoa; Chordata; Mammalia; Primates; Hominidae
Source: Ensembl
ACAGGGUUUACUGAUGGAUUGAAUGUGGGGUAUGAGAGGUAGGAGUCAAGGAUGACUCUAAGGGUACAUUUGCCGUUAAUUGGGAUGAGGGAGUAUGCAGGAGGAGAUAUGAGGAAAGUCAGGCUUAAAGAUGUUAAAUGAUUCACCCAAGGUCACACUGGUAAUUCAGAGAGAAAUGGAAUUAAUUGACCUGUUAGGAAACUCAGAGAUCUGCUGGUCUUUCUUAUUUUACAGAUGAAAAAUUUGGAGUCUAGUGAAAAGAAGUGACUUGUUCAAAGUCACACAGCACAUGAAGAACAGAGCCUCUAUGAUGAAUUUCUUGACAGCUGAUAUAAGUCUUUUGAGGUACAGCCUGGCACAAAAAGGAUGAGAUUUGUGGGCAGAAUUUUGGAAGAAUAUCUCCCGAGAGAACAUUCAGGACAGAGCCCUACAUCUCCCCGAGAAGAGGUGAAAGAGACUGCUCCUAUCUGCUCCUGCAUCAAACUUCAGGCUCAAGACCUGUCCAGAAAAAAAAAUGUCUUCUUUCAGGGAUGAACUGCUGUUCUCAUCAGACGCCUUAUUUUGUUUAGAAUUCAAGCUCACUUGAAAGGUAUUCUACACUUUUUUCAAUACAACUAAGCUAAUGCCCACCUCCUUUCUGAAUUGAUUUCAACCCAGUAUUACCCUUCAUAGCUUUCUCUUAUAGAGUAAGACAAUAGCUGAACAGAUUUAUAUAUACAUGUGUAAGUAUCUAGAUUGUAUACAGGUGUGUGUCUAAUAUAUGAUACAUGGAAUAUAGGUACACAUAUGUAUGUGUGUAUGUGUUUAUGUAUGUAUAUCAUGAAAAGUUACAAUAGUUUCAAAAGGAACAUAGGCAGGCAUCAAUUACUGAGGUUAGUGGAGGCCACAACCAAAGUCAAAUCAACGUAUCCUUCCCAAACCUCAUAUUAGCCAACAACACCAUAAGAUCUUUUCCCAAAGUCCUUGCUAACCAGACUGCCAGAAUGGAGUUUGAAAUAGCAAAUGUGGCAGAGAAGUCAAGCAGUUUUUAAGCAGUGGCUUUACAUAAUUUGAAUCACAGUUCCAUCCAUUCCCAGGGUCCUACUGAGGGCAAGGAGUGCAGGUGCUGUAGCAGAGAAAGGGAGAAUACUGGUAGGAUGGAAAGGUUUUCUGGCUUUCUUGCUUGCCUUAAGUCAGAGCUUUGUGGCCUCCAUCACACAUAAUGAAUAAUUAAGAGUUUAUUGUCUUUUGCUCAGUUGAAACUGAUUGUGUUGGAAGAUUGCAUUGCAGAAUGGUUAAUCACACAGAUUUUGAAGAUAAAUCAUGGCUAUGCCACCUACUAGUUUUGGAAUCUUGAGUAAAGUCCUUAGCCUGUUCGUGCUUCUGAAUCUUCACAUGCAAAAUAAAUUUCAUUUAUUUUGGGUUAUUGUGAAGAUUAAAUGAAUUAAUACAUGUGAAGCAACUGUAACAACUCUUGACAUGCGGUAAGCACUGUAAAUUGUGAACCAUUUAGGAAUGCCCCAUUGGAGAUAAUUUAGGUCACUCAGAAAUUGUAAAUUUUGAAAGGUGAGAGACCGUGUUAUUCAAGUUAGGGCUGAACUGGAACUGUAAAUCUGAUGGUUGAAUAAUAAACAGAGUAAUUAUUGAAGAAUUAACAGCAACUCUUAUGGUAUUACAUUUAAGACUUGAACCUUACUCAAACUACUUUUAAAGACUUUAAUGUUUAAGGGCUAUAAAUGUCAGAGCUCACUAAUUUCUUUGGCUUUCAAUAAAUGCCAGUGACUUUAAGAAUUGCUAUCUCUUUAGCUUAUCUGGCAAGAAGAGCACAAGCUUAAAGGGUACACAAGAGGGCCCUGAUGACCCACUCUCUUCCCAGUGGAAAAUGCAG